RNAcentral lists this ribosomal RNA (253 nucleotides) under uncultured bacterium. Its description in RNAcentral is "partial 16S ribosomal RNA". It matches the Rfam family "Bacterial small subunit ribosomal RNA", at positions 524 to 776 of the family's 1533-position model. The record is from RNAcentral.
GACAGAGGUGCCAAGCGUUAGGCGGAAUCACUGGGCUUAAAGCGUGUGUAGGCGGAUUGGUAAGUACCUUGUGAAAUCCCACAGCUCAACUGUGGAACUGCUCGGUAUACUGCUUAUCUUGAGCCACUUAGGGGCUGUCGGAACAAACGGUGGAGCGGUGAAAUGCGCAGAUAUCGGGAAGAACACCCGUGGCGAAGGCGGUUCUCUGGGACGGUACUGACGCUGAGACGCGAAAGCGUGGGGAGCGAACAGG